ACCUGGCUGGUUCAGUCAAUAGAGCAUGUGACUUUUGAUCUCAGGCUUGUGAGUUCGAGCCCCAUGUUGGGUG
This 73-nucleotide transfer RNA is filed under the name Felis catus (domestic cat). It matches the Rfam family "tRNA". Rfam says of the family: Transfer RNA (tRNA) molecules are approximately 80 nucleotides in length. RNAcentral also lists the same sequence under 3 other names. Lineage: Eukaryota; Metazoa; Chordata; Mammalia; Carnivora; Felidae. The record is from Rfam by way of RNAcentral.